This 525-nucleotide ribosomal RNA is filed under the name Clostridioides difficile. RNAcentral's name for it is "bacterial SSU rRNA". It matches the Rfam family "Bacterial small subunit ribosomal RNA", at positions 1 to 551 of the family's 1533-position model. Lineage: Bacteria; Bacillati; Bacillota; Clostridia; Peptostreptococcales; Peptostreptococcaceae. The record is from RNAcentral.
UUUUAUUUGAGAGUUUGAUCCUGGCUCAGGAUAAACGCUGGCGGCGUGCCUAACACAUGCAAGUUGAGCGAUUUACUUCGGUAAAGAGCGGCGGACGGGUGAGUAACGCGUGGGUAACCUACCCUGUACACACGGAUAACAUACCGAAAGGUAUGCUAAUACGGGAUAAUAUAUUUGAGAGGCAUCUCUUGAAUAUCAAAGGUGAGCCAGUACAGGAUGGACCCGCGUCUGAUUAGCUAGUUGGUAAGGUAACGGCUUACCAAGGCAACGAUCAGUAGCCGACCUGAGAGGGUGAUCGGCCACAUUGGAACUGAGACACGGUCCAAACUCCUACGGGAGGCAGCAGGGGGGAAUAUUGCACAAUGGGCGAAAGCCUGAUGCAGCAACGCCGCGUGAGUGAUGAAGGCCUUCGGGUCGUAAAACUCUGUCCUCAAGUAAGAUAAUGACGGUACUUGAGGAGGAAGCCCCUGCUAACUACGUGCCAGCAGCCGCGGUAAUACGUAGGGGGCUAGCGUUAUCCGGAUU